CCCGCCCACUGAGACGACGCCCACUUCUGCAGUGAGCGCCGCUCAGCUGUCGCUUCUGGCUCAGCGCGACGCCUCAACAGCGAGCCAUGCACGAGGAGGCAUUGCUGCUGCAGUUCAACUCUCUGCACUUCUGGAAGCUGCCGCUCCCGGAGAUCGGCUCCGACGACCUCCAGACAAUCAGCGACCCCCACCAAGGGACUACCCCCCCCCAAUCUCCCCCCCCUCCCCCCGUGCUCCCAGGCCGUGCCCCCCACUCGACUCCGCGGAUCGCCGCCUCCGCCCCCCACGACUUCGGCACCGCCACCUACUGGCGGCAACCGCUGCCCGCGGUCGACCCGGCCGAGAUGGAUCAGCUGCUGGCGGGACGGGGGGCCGGGGGGGGCUCGGGGUGGGGGGCGGGGCUGAGGAGGGAGGGAGUGGGCGCUUAGCGGUGGGCCAGGAGAUGGUGACUCCCUCGCCUGGUACGCAGGGAGUCGCCAUCGCGCGACACGAUCACCGCUCGACGCGUCGUGUACCCCAUUGGCGCUGCGAACACAACGCGCAGCGUUAGAAAGAGAACAGCAGACAGAACAGGGUGGGUCCAGAUGUCUUGUGCCCCCCCCCAUUAAUUGGGCCAUAGAAUUUAAUUAUUUAUUUUAAAUUAUUUUGCAGUAAAUAUCUCUCUCAUUUUUUCACGGUGACUAAGGGAUGUUAACUACCUCGCCUGGUACACAGGAGGUCGUGGGUUUAAUCCCGACCCUGACGAUGCCUGCUGCUGUAUAUUUGGAGUUUGCAUUUCUCUCUCUCAUCAUCAUCACGGUGGCCAGGAGAUGUUAACUACCUCGCCUGGGACACAGGAGGUCGUGGGUUCCAUCCCGGACCCUGACGAUGCCUGAGUGAAUGGGUGAGAUGUUAACUACCUCACCUGGUACACAGGAGGUCGUGGGUUCGAUCCCGGACCCUGACGAUGCCUGAGUGAGUGGGUGAGAUGUUAACUACCUCGCCUGGUACACAGGAGGUUGUGGGUUCGAUCCCGGACCCUGACGAUGCCUGAGUGAGUGGGUGAGAUGUUAACUACCUCGCCUGGUACACAGGAGGUUGUGGGUUCCAUCCCGGACCCUGACGAUGCCUGAGUGAGUGGGUGAGAUGUUAACUACCUCGCCUGGUACACAGGAGGUCGUGGGUUCCAUCCCGGACCCUGACGAUGCCUGAGUGAGUGGGUGAGAUGUUAAUUACCUCGCCUGGUGUACAGGAGGUCGUGGGUUCGAUGCCUGCUGCUGCUGCUGUAUAUUUGGAGCCUGCGCCUCUCUCCCCGUGGUGGUCACAGCGUGGAUUGUUCUCCGAGUCAUCCUGUUCCCCCCACUCCACACAUUUAGAAUCAAUGUCUCUACACGAUCAGAGGAAUUUGGCUGGGGCUAUGAAUUCCCACACGACCAUGAUGAUGAUGACGAUGAUGACGAUGAUGAUGAUGACGAUGAUGAUUGAUGAUGAUGAUUGAUGAUGAUGAUGAUGACGAUGAUGGUGAUGAUGAUUGAUGAUGAUGAUUGAUGAUGAUGAUGAUGACGAUGAUGAUGAUGAUGACGAUGAUGAUGAUGAUGAUGAUUGAUGAUGACGAUGAUGAUGAUUGAUGAUGAUGAUUGAUGAUGAUGAUGAUGACGAUGAUGAUGACGAUGAUGACGAUGAUGAUGAUGACGAUGAUGACGAUGAUGAUGACGAUGAUGACGAUGACAAUGAUUGAUGAUGACGAUGAUAACGAUGAUGAUGAUGACGAUGACGACGAUGAUGAUGAUGGUGAUGAUGACGAUGACAAUCCACCACUUGGUUGCGCAGAUGUCAUCUGUGAUGACCAGAUGGUCACUUCUAAGAGCUACGCAGCAGCCCAGCGGGGCCUUACACCGGCUAACAGGCACACGCACACACACUAGUUCAUAGUUUAUUAUUUUACAGGGAACCUCGGCUCUGUCUGUCUCUCUCUCCAUUCCGCACAGCUCUUCUGGGUCUCUGUGGGUCUCUAUGAGUAUGAGUCUCUGUGGGUCUCUGUGGGUCUCUGAGUAUGAGUCUCUGUGGGUCUCUGUGGGUCUCUAUGAGUAUGAGUCUCUGUGGGUCUCUGUGGGUCUCUAUGAGAACGUGACCCCACGUGCCCUGGUACUAGCAAACACAGAGGUGGCGGGCGGGGGGGCGGACAAAUGGCGAUUGUUUAACUUGCAAUGACUCUCAGACAAUACACAAUAAAUUAU
Long non-coding RNA from Lethenteron reissneri (Far Eastern brook lamprey), 2216 nucleotides. RefSeq lists it as uncharacterized. NCBI's taxonomy places the organism in Eukaryota, Metazoa, Chordata, Hyperoartia, Petromyzontiformes, Petromyzontidae. The record is from RefSeq and is a predicted model, not a curated record.